This 301-nucleotide ribosomal RNA is filed under the name uncultured bacterium. RNAcentral describes it as "partial 16S ribosomal RNA". It matches the Rfam family "Bacterial small subunit ribosomal RNA", at positions 509 to 807 of the family's 1533-position model. The record is from RNAcentral.
CAGUCGCCACGGUAAUACGGAGGGGGCUAGCGUUGUUCGGAAUUACUGGGCGUAAAGCGCACGUAGGCGGCAUGGUAAGUUAGAGGUGAAAGCCUGGAGCUCAACUCCAGAAUUGCCUUUAAGACUGCCGAGCUAGCAGGUGAGAGAGGUAAGUGGAAUUCCGAGUGUAGAGGUGAAAUUCGUAGAUAUUCGGAAGAACACCAGUGGCGAAGGCGGCUUACUGGCUCAUACUGGACGCUGAGGUGCGAAAGCGUGGGGAGCAAACAGGAUUAGAUACCCCCGUAGUCCCUGUCUCUUAUAC